UUCAUCCAAUCCACCUCCGCAGCAAGUAAAGGUAUAAGCAACCUGCUGUAGUAUUGGACAGUCUGGAUGUAUUAAUAAUAAAAAAUGAAAGAAAUCAAGAGCCGGGUAAUGUGUUAUGCAAUUAUGUAUUUAAAAAAAAUGCGGAAUUUGCAGCGAUUUCUUGGAAAGAACGAGUAAAAACGUUAUUGAAAGGCAGGAAAUAAUGACGUGGUUGCGUGAGAUUGUCGUUAAAAUAAUAACGAGUUUUUAAAAUUGGUUAAGAAUUAAACCUCGGCAUUAAACAUGCGCAAGACUUGAGUAAUUACAGCGAGCAGACUGGAAUAAAGAAAAAAAAAUAAAACUCUAAAACACUGUAAUGAUGAAUGUGCAAAAAAAAUAUAGAGGAGUUGAUUUAAAGGUAAAUAAUAACAGAGGUGACUGUUGCGGUAAAUUGCAAUACGACUGUCAUAGCCGCCCACAACUUACGGUCUCGAGUUAUGAAUAAAAAAAGCGAGGUCAGGCCGAGUGAUUGCGACUUGUAAGCAAA
Molecule: long non-coding RNA, 526 nt
Organism: Cotesia glomerata
Lineage: Eukaryota; Metazoa; Arthropoda; Insecta; Hymenoptera; Braconidae
Exons: 4
Source: RefSeq, a predicted model, not a curated record